RNAcentral lists this ribosomal RNA (383 nucleotides) under uncultured bacterium. Its description in RNAcentral is "bacterial SSU rRNA". It matches the Rfam family "Bacterial small subunit ribosomal RNA", at positions 28 to 412 of the family's 1533-position model. The record is from RNAcentral.
GACGAACGCUGGCGGCGUGCUUAACACAUGCAAGUCGAGCGGUAAGGCCCUUUCGGGGGUACACGAGCGGCGAACGGGUGAGUAACACGUGGGUGACCUGCCCUCAGCUCUGGGAUAAGCCCGGGAAACUGGGUCUAAUACCGGAUAUGACUCCACGGUGCAUGUCGUGGGGUGGAAAGCCUUGUGCGGCUGAGGAUGGGCCCGCGGCCUAUCAGCUUGUUGGUGGGGUGAUGGCCUACCAAGGCGACGACGGGUAGCCGGCCUGAGAGGGCGACCGGCCACACUGGGACUGAGACACGGCCCAGACUCCUACGGGAGGCAGCAGUGGGGAAUCUUGCGCAAUGGGCGAAAGCCUGACGCAGCGACGCCGCGUGAGGGAUGAC